CAGCAGCCACGGGAAUACGUAGGGUGCAAGCGUUAAUCGGAAUUACUGGGCGUAAAGCGUGCGUAGGCGGCUUUUUAAGUCGGAUGUGAAAUCCCUGAGCUUAACUUAGGAAUUGCAUUCGAUACUGGGAAGCUAGAGUAUGGGAGAGGAUGGUAGAAUUCCAGGUGUAGCGGUGAAAUGCGUAGAGAUCUGGAGGAAUACCGAUGGCGAAGGCAGCCAUCUGGCCUAAUACUGACGCUGAGGUACGAAAGCAUGGGGAGCAAACAGGAUUAGAUACCCCUGUAGUCCCUGUCUCUUAUAC
RNAcentral lists this ribosomal RNA (301 nucleotides) under uncultured bacterium. Its description in RNAcentral is "partial 16S ribosomal RNA". It matches the Rfam family "Bacterial small subunit ribosomal RNA", at positions 509 to 807 of the family's 1533-position model. The record is from RNAcentral.